GGGACCUGCACGCGUUGCGGUGCAACGAUGGUCAAAGA
This 38-nucleotide non-coding RNA is filed under the name human gut metagenome. Its description in RNAcentral is "Selenocysteine insertion sequence 4". It matches the Rfam family "Selenocysteine insertion sequence 4". The record is from RNAcentral.